CUGCCUGCUAUUUAUGCCACACACUCAAGACACCAAUUGUCAAGAAUUUCCCUGCAAACUGUCAUAUGUUAGUGAAUCUGUUUGGAGGAAGCAGCGGCGGCAGAGGGCGAGCAGCGCGAAGGGAGAGACGCCACUUCUCAGCUGCUGAGCAAAUUGUCUGCUGGGCAUGAGGGGGGCAUGAAGGAGGAAUCUGAGCAGCAGCGGCGCAUUUUAGCAGCCAGUUCUCUCUUUGGCGUGAUGGAGAGGAAGCGUCGAAGUGAAAGACUGAGAGGCUCUAAAGUUGACAGCUCGUGCAGCUCAGCCCGUCAGGAGCUCGCGGCCCAGACACCUCGGACAAUUCAUUAGGGAGAUCCAAUCCACUUCAAGUCCACCUUGAUUAAGAGACACAAUGUCAUCACAACAAUGCGCGAGGGGCACAGCUCGUGGAAGGAGAGGACUCUGGGAUAAAGACUGAAUCGGGCAGGUGAUUAGAUGGGGAGGGAAAGGAAAGGUGUUCAAAAUGUAAGAGAGAAACAGCGUUAGGUGGCGGGGCUGUGAGGCUCUACAGCCGGACAGGCAGCCGGGGGACGAACCGUGACUCCGGUAACAGAGAGAGAAAUAUCACCCUCGACUGGAGCUUUGAUCAACCGAGUGAACCGGGGAGGAGGAAGAGGAGAUGGGGGGGUUGGACGUCCACGGAGGGAGGGGUACCGGUCCAGUGCUCUGCUCUGCUUUUGCAGGACCCCCGCCCCCCCCCCUUUUUUUCUUUUCAAAUCUUUUUUUUUUACAAGGGAAUAUUGCAAACAGGCGAUGACAUUCAUAAUUCACAAUAAGCCACAUUGAUCAUUCUGAAUGUGUUUAUUUGAGGAAUAAACAGCCCGUUUCUGUGAAGCUGCUCAGUUAAUAUUAUUUAGAUAAUUUUUCAUUUCUAUUCCAGAGUAGAAAACCUCAGGAGAUGGAAUAGGAAAAAAUAAUAAUAAUUCAGUGUAGAGCUGAAAAAUGUGCUAAUUUUCGAGAUAAAGAUGAAAAGCAAUCAUAAAAAAAGAUAAAUUAUUUUUGUGGAAUUAUAUUUGAUCUUAUUGUAAGUACAUUAGAGUCCAUGCAGACUGCACGCGCAAUUCGAUGCAAAUAACAAGGAAAAAAAAUACGUUCUUUGAAAUGACAAACACUUAAAUAUAGUCACCAUUUAAAAAAAACCUACUUCUUUAGCCAAGAACAAAACCCUGCAUCACAUAACAAUGCAACGUUUUAAUUCUAUUUUUUACUAAAUACUCACAGAUGGAGAAAUGUGUUUAAGCAAUGCAUAACUGUGCUUUGUUCUAAUAUUAUUUACAAACUUUACAGUGCCAAACGCGUAAAAAGCUCAAAAGUUGACCAUAAUAUUCAGUGUGAUUUAGAGUACGAGCUGCUAGAGGACGUGGCCGGGAGGAGGUGUUUUCCGCCCCAGCUCUGCCCAGUCUGUCAAUCAUUCCUCACCGCAUUAUCACGCACUCCCAGGACCGAAAUCCGACCCUCCCUCCAUCCCUCCUCUAUCCACCCAUCCGUCCCGGCGCGCGGUGCUCGCGCAGCAGAAAAAGGCCUCAUAAAGCACACAUGACAUAUUUAGUGAAAUUCAGAGUCUGUGAUGUUAUAACCCACAAACGCAAAGCACGCACAGUCCCACAAUCGACUGGCUGGGGUUGUGCUGAGUCCCCCCCCCCUCCCACCCCCUCCUGUAGAUCAGCAGCCAAACAUAUGCCGAUGUGAACUCGACGUGGAUUAUUGAGCCAACAGCAACUCUACGCAAACAUUUUCCAGACUUUCCAACUCCGGUCCCGGCCUGUGCUGAGAGAAAUCCAAUGGGAUUUAUAGAUCAUCUCCCUACAGCUGUCCCUUCUCAGUCAGUCAACCCCCCACUGAAUCCACACACACACACACACACACACACACACACACACACACACACACACACACACACACACACACACACACUCACACACACACACACACACACACACACACACACACACACACACACACACACACACACAAGCGCCGGUUUUCAGAGGAUGUCCUCCUAAACCAUCCACAGCUAUGACCACCUCUGUCUUCUUCACUGUCAGUGUGUUUUCUCAAGGAGAUCAUAUGAUUCAGUGAAUUUGGGGGCUUUAGGGUGUGCAACCUGCAUGAGACUCUGAGGUCAUCCAGAAACAAGGCCACCAACACCACCAGAGUCCCGUUCAGCCCUCUAGGGGGCGAAUUCAGCCUGGCGAAAGAAAGAGCAUAGUUGGCGAACUAAUAUUUCUUUAAAUUCUAUUCAUUGCUGUGUAAUGUCAGGAGAAAAACACCAGAAGGCAACAUAAUCUCCACGCUUUCCCAGUUAGCUUCUUUUCAAUGAUACCAUAAUUAGAAAAUAAAGCUAAAAGUGGACUCACGCACUCAAAUAUAUGGAUAUAUUAUUUUAUUAUUUCCGUUUUAAAUUAAAUUUGACAGGGAAUAACCCUCAGUUGGUUUCGUUCAAUAUAUGUUAUACUAAUGUGCAAGUGUAAAAGAAAAUAUUCCUAUUCUUAUACAUUUAUUACAAAAAAUAUAAGUAUGAU
This is a long non-coding RNA of Labrus mixtus (cuckoo wrasse), 2558 nucleotides long. RefSeq lists it as uncharacterized. The record is from RefSeq and is a predicted model, not a curated record. NCBI's taxonomy places the organism in Eukaryota, Metazoa, Chordata, Actinopteri, Labriformes, Labridae. The transcript has 3 exons.